This 1098-nucleotide long non-coding RNA is filed under the name Sinocyclocheilus anshuiensis. RNAcentral's name for it is "lncRNA (ENSSANG00000001793.1)". The record is from RNAcentral. Lineage: Eukaryota; Metazoa; Chordata; Actinopteri; Cypriniformes; Cyprinidae.
UUCAAAUCAUCAGCUCGUUAAGAGAGAGAGAGAUCCAUGAACUGAAAUGAGUGUGUCAGCUGUCAGGUAGAAGAGACAUACAAAAUGUACAGAGCAGUGGGUCCACCAAAUAAGAGUUAAGAACCACCGCUUUAUACUACUGAGUUAUUGGUUAUGUGGUAAGGGGUUGUUUGGAAGUGUUUUGUUUAGUUAUACAAUGACGAUUUUUUUUUUGUCUUUCUGAAUGUUAUUUUAUUAUUUGCGGUUUUGAACCUUUUUGUGAGCUCGGUUUCUGUUGGUUGGGGGACCAACAGAUUAAAACAUUACCAUGAAAAAAAAAAGUAAACAGAAAUGUAAUGAAAUAUCACAAUAAAAACGUCUUUAGACAAGUCCCUACUGUAGCUUUCACUUUACUGAGAAACCGAAUCUGAUGAGGAGAGGGAGGAGUUCACUGAGGAAGUGUUAGAGUAUUUAAGCGAGAGGAAACAGAGACCCCUCCUUUCUAUCCUGCAGACUCUUGUCUGAUAUGGAGCGGAGAUGGACAGCUUGUAUGCUGUGAUCUAGUGUGCAGACUGCUGCCACUAGAUGACUGCACACGAGUUGAGACGUCACGCUGCCUAAGGAUCUCUUUGGCAUUGUGCCGAUGCUUGCGUUUAUUAUUUUAUUUUGAGGAGGAGAGGAGGAGAACCCAACUGCCAAGGGAUUCGGGCACUCGGGUCCACUGCCCUGUUCUAGUGCAUUCUCUGGCAACACUGGAUCUCUGGCCGGGGUCCAGUGGACCUGAAGUGAACAGCGCCAGGUCUAUGACCCGCUGACAAAGCACCAGAAAACUAGAAGCAACCAAACAAAUCACACAAACAAGAAAACUGAAGCCGACUACUACCCUUAAACCCCCCUUUUUCCCCUUUGGUCGGUUUCUGGUUGUCUGUUGCUUGGUUGGCAGGUGAUGAGGAUGGCCUGCUGUGAAACCAACCUGUUUUUUGUUUUGUUUUAAUGAAGGCUGAGUGCAACUCUUUCCAAAAAAAUUAAUAAAAAUGGAAAAACCUGAAACUGAAAUUAAUGUCUGUGUUUUAUUUUAUUCAAGUUAUGAAACUCUUUUUAAAGAAUAACAAGGUAAAG